ACUGUAGCAUGUCUCUAUUUUCAUGGGUGUAUUCCUCUUCCAUUAUCAGCUAACAAUGGAUGGAGCUUGUCAAGUUGAGAGCUUGAUCAGACUGGGUGGAAAACAUAUGUGAACUUCAGGUCACUCCACAUCCUUUGGGGGUUUGGCCUUUGGGUGAGCCACUCAGGAACAGUCAGCUCUGUCUUAAGGCAGCUUCAGCAUUGUCUUGGCUGUUUGCUUCAGGUAAUUGAGGUGCUGAAAGGUGAACUGUCACUCGGUCUCAAGUUGCUGCACUCUGAAACAAGUUUUUUUUUCCAAGGACCUUUCUGCAUUUUGCUGCAUUCAUCCUUGUGACCACUUCCUGCUCCCUGCCACUCAGAAGCACACCCACAACAUCAUGUUGGCACCUUAAUGUUUCACAGUAGAGAUGGCAUUAGCAGGCGAUGAGCAGUGCCUGAUGUUCAACAAAGAGCUUAAAGUUUUCCUCAAAGAGUUCACUUUUUCUUUCGUCAGAUCAGAGAAUAUUUUCUGCCACAUGGUCUUUGAGUUUUUAUAUGCCAUUUGGCAAACUCCACACGGGCUGCCAAAAACAGGCAGACUGAUGCUGAGACAGCC
This is a long non-coding RNA of Oreochromis aureus, 594 nucleotides long. NCBI's taxonomy places the organism in Eukaryota, Metazoa, Chordata, Actinopteri, Cichliformes, Cichlidae. The record is from Ensembl.